UACAGAGGGUGCAAGCGUUGUUCGGAAUUAUUGGGCGUAAAGCGCGUGUAGGCGGCUUCGCAAGUCGGGUGUGAAAGCCCUGGGCUCAACUCAGGAAGUGCGCCCGAAACUGCGUUGCUUGAGUACCGGAGAGGGUAGCGGAAUUCCCCAAGUAGAGGUGAAAUUCGUAGAUAUGGGGAGGAACACCGGUGGCGAAGGCGGCUACCUGGACGGAUACUGACGCUGAGACGCGAAAGCGUGGGUAGCAAACAGG
RNAcentral lists this ribosomal RNA (253 nucleotides) under uncultured bacterium. RNAcentral describes it as "partial 16S ribosomal RNA". It matches the Rfam family "Bacterial small subunit ribosomal RNA", at positions 524 to 776 of the family's 1533-position model. The record is from RNAcentral.